Long non-coding RNA from Carya illinoinensis, 1421 nucleotides. RefSeq lists it as uncharacterized. The transcript has 3 exons. NCBI's taxonomy places the organism in Eukaryota, Viridiplantae, Streptophyta, Magnoliopsida, Fagales, Juglandaceae. The record is from RefSeq and is a predicted model, not a curated record.
AGUCUACUUACAACCGACCUGAGAAACCCCCCCGUAACCGGCUCCUACGUGGCACGUUUCAAAACGGCGUCGUCACUGUUUUAACUCAAAUUCAAACUUGCCUCGUCACUCUGUUACUGUGUUUCAAAAACUCUCUACUUUCUCUUCCUUCCAAGACCCUCCCCUCUUCCUCAUUCCCAUCGUCUUCCACAGAAAGGCAGAAGCAGCCUUCCAUCCCAGUCGAAAAUCAUUCCCAGUUGAAGAAAGAACCCACAAACCCACGUUUCAGUUUCGUACCGAAGAACCACUGACGCACAAACCCACGAACAAGCCUCGAACCCAAGAGCCAGAAACCCAAUUUCAACCCAAAUCGACAAACUAGAGCCACGAAAUCCAGUUCUGAAAUCCCGCUUUCCCACAGAGCACCGAUUAAAAUAACCCUAACCCUAACCUCAAAAAAUCGAGUUAGUUUUCUCCUUUUUAUGUCUUUUCGUUUUGGUUUCCAACAUUUCCCACUCUCAGAUCUGGAAUCAACCCGAGCACGCCUGCAUUUCGUCUGGUAAAUGAUCUCAAACCCCUUUGUUCAGUAUGGUCGUUUACGUUUACGAACAUGUGUCACUAUCCACAUAUACUCAUAGAUUCGUAAUGCAAUUGAGUGGAUUUAUAGACUUCUUCCAUUUUUUUUGGUCUUCUAGGUUCUUCUUCUUCUUCUUCUUCUUCUCUCUCUCUCUCUCUCUCUCUCUCUCUCUCUCUCUCUCUCUCUCUCUCUCUCUCUCUCUCUCUCUCUCUCUCUCUCUCUCCAGUUUGGUCCCGAUUUAAUGCUUAUUUUGUGAUUUUUUUUUGGGUCUUCUUCCCCUCCGGAUUACCAAAGUAAGCAAGAAAUUUCUUUUUUUUUCUUUGAAAUAUGGAGGCGCGUGAACUUGGAGGUCAAUGUUUGGUGGGUAUUGGGUUAAUUGCACAAAUAAAUGUUGGGUUGGUCACAUAUCUGAGCACUUUUGAGCUUCUGGGUGGGCGUGUGUCGAAGGGAAUUUGAUAAUGGAGCAUGUGAUUGCUGGGAAGUUUAAGCUGGGGGGAAAGAUUGGGAAUGGGUCCUUUGGGGAGCUCUAUCUAGCCAUUAAUGUACAAACUGGAGAGGAGGUGGCUGUUAAGCUGGAAUAUGUGAAGACCAAGCAUCAAUAACCUGUUACGGAAGGAGAAAGAUCUCAAGAAGAUGGUCGAGCUUCUUGAAAAGAGUGAGAUUGACCUUCGUAAGAUAGUGGAUCAGUUCGAGAAGGAGUUGGGGCGUCACGCACAAGAAACUGAAAUAAGGCGUUUACAAUGAAUGUAUUGGGGUUUUGCAUUAGUAGUAUUAUGUUUUUGUAUUGGAUUUUGGCUCUUGUAUUGAACUCCAGACUUGAUGUAUGAAUUUUUGUACAUCCUUAUUCGUGUUUUGUUAGAUUUCA